GUCAUGCCAAUGGCAUUGCUCGGUAGCUACGUUCGGAACUGAUAACCGCUGAAAGCAUCUAAGCGGGAAACAGGCUUUAAGAUGAGUUCUCACUGGAGCUUUAAGCUCCCUAAAGGGUCGUUGGAGACUACAACGUUGAUAGGUCAGGUGUGUAAGGGCUGCGAAGUCUUGAGCUAACUGAUACUAAUUGCCCGUGAGGCUUAACCAUACAACACCCAAG
RNAcentral lists this ribosomal RNA (220 nucleotides) under Gammaproteobacteria bacterium. RNAcentral's name for it is "partial 23S ribosomal RNA". It matches the Rfam family "Bacterial large subunit ribosomal RNA", at positions 2723 to 2925 of the family's 2925-position model. Lineage: Bacteria; Pseudomonadati; Pseudomonadota; Gammaproteobacteria. The record is from RNAcentral.